GUUAUAGGGUCAAGCGAAUAAGUGCAUGUGGUGGAUGCCUUGGCGAUUACAGGCGAUGAAGGACGUAGUAGCCUGCGAAAAGCUGCGGGGAGCUGGCAAACAAGCUUUGAUCCGCAGAUAUCCGAAUGGGGAAACCCGGCCCGAAUGGGUCAUCCCUUGCUGAAUACAUAGGCAAGGGAAGCGAACGCAGUGAACUGAAACAUCUAAGUAGCUGCAGGAACAGAAAUCAACCGAGAUUCCCAAAGUAGUGGCGAGCGAAAUGGGAUCAGCCUUGUACUCUUUAGCAGUAUUGUUAGCAAAGCGGAAUGGAAAGUCCGGCCAUAGUGGGUGAUAGCCCCGUAUGCGAAAACAGUAUUGUGGAACUAGGUGUACGACAAGUAGGGCGGGACACGUGAAAUCCUGUCUGAAGAUGGGGGGACCAUCCUCCAAGGCUAAAUACUCGUAAUCGACCGAUAGUGAACCAGUACCGUGAGGGAAAGGCGAAAAGAACCCCGGGAGGGGAGUGAAAUAGAUCCUGAAACCGCAUGCAUACAAACAGUCGGAGCCUGGAAACGGGUGACGGCGUACCUUUUGUAUAAUGGGUCAGCGACUUACAUUCAGUGGCAAGCUUAACCGAUUAGGGAAGGCGUAGCGAAAGCGAGUCCGAAUAGGGCGUUCAGUCGCUGGGUGUAGACCCGAAACCAAGUGAUCUAUCCAUGGCCAGGUUGAAGGUGCGGUAACACGUACUGGAGGACCGAACCCACUAACGUUGAAAAGUUAGGGGAUGAGCUGUGGAUAGGGGUGAAAGGCUAAACAAACUUGGAAAUAGCUGGUUCUCUCCGAAAACUAUUUAGGUAGUGCCUCGUGUCUCACCUUCGGGGGUAGAGCACUGUCAUGGUUGGGGGGUCUAUUGCUGAUUACCCCGCCAUAGCAAACUCCGAAUACCGAAGAGUGCAAUCACGGGAGACAGACAUCGGGUGCUAACGUCCGGUGUCAAGAGGGAAACAACCCAGACCGCCAGCUAAGGUCCCUAAAUAUUGCUAAGUGGGAAACGAAGUGGGAAGGCUAAAACAGUCAGG
RNAcentral lists this ribosomal RNA (1058 nucleotides) under Salmonella enterica. RNAcentral describes it as "partial 23S ribosomal RNA". It matches the Rfam family "Bacterial large subunit ribosomal RNA", at positions 1 to 1097 of the family's 2925-position model. Lineage: Bacteria; Pseudomonadati; Pseudomonadota; Gammaproteobacteria; Enterobacterales; Enterobacteriaceae. The record is from RNAcentral.